Long non-coding RNA from Passer domesticus (house sparrow), 3706 nucleotides. RefSeq lists it as uncharacterized. Lineage: Eukaryota; Metazoa; Chordata; Aves; Passeriformes; Passeridae. The transcript is spliced from 4 exons. The record is from RefSeq and is a predicted model, not a curated record.
CCGCCUUCGCAAACCAUGCCUGCCUGCUGCUGCAACACGGGGGUGGAGCCCGAGAUGAUGUCGCUACAAAUGCCUGGAUGUUGUCAUUACAUCACAUCCAGAAACUCACUGGAACCAGGAAGCUCCAGCACCACGAUGCAGAGCCUUGUUCCGGGCCCUGCUCUGGACAUGCACCUGCCACUGCUGCAGCACCAUGUCAUCUACAGUCAAGGUCCUAACAAGCCCAGGAAGCCCCUGCAACCGUGCCAAUGCCAGCUCUAGCCCCUUCGAUGUUCCAAGCAGGAAACAUCUCCACCCGAGACCCGGUAAUCUUCUGGAUGUAGGUAAAACAAAAGGCUAUAGAAUGUGGAGAUAUAGAAGGGGCUGAACUAAUUUCUGUACCCAUGUAUUCACCAUCAUCAGAGAACUGGCAACGGGAUGGGGGAACAAUUGCAGCAUUUCCAGUCGUUUGAGGAUGAAAUAAGAGAAAGUAUUUCAUGUGGAAUGGAAAUUGUAGGCCCUACACUGGAUGCACUGUAGAGCAUCUUGCGAUUGGUGUUAGUCCUUUAUCAGUUUAUGUUUUCUUUGGUCUGAGGAGCCUACAGCGGUGGCCCUGGCUGAUCCGAACCCCAGGAAAGACUGAGCCUUUGAAAGAAGGGACAUUAAACUCCACCAACUUUGCCUGCUGUGAGGAGAAGACCCACGCCAGAAAUCCAACAGAUUUCCAGAUGCUGUGUGAACUCUUUUUCUCCUUCCUUCCCUGAGACAAAGAAGGGUAGCUGCCAUCUUUGAGUCCUGGCCAUGAGGUGAGGUGGGGGUGGGGUGUUAGGUGUUUUUCCCCUGUGCUUUGUGGGUAUCUUGCUUUGUUAAUAAACAGUGUUACUUUUUUCCCCCACUUUCACCCAUGGGUAUUCAGUCCUCUCAUUGGCAAAAAUGGAUUAUUGGAGCCCAUCUCUUUUGAGGAAAUGCUCAUUCCAAGGCAGUUUUCUCCUAACAUUUGUCUCUAAGCUGAGAAAACACCUUAAAGGAACUCUUAAAAUUUUCUCUAGGACAUUCUUAAAAGUGAAUGACACUUUUAGUACAUGCACACCUAUUUGAUAUUCUUGCAAAAAUUAGUGUUUCUAAAAAUUACUACAGGUGAAGGAAAGUUGAGUUCAAUUAAAAAUAACCAGUCUUACCAUCUUCCUUCCCAAUCUUUUGAUCUUCAUCAGCUCUAUGUGCAGUAGCAGAUGUCUUUUCUCAAAAAGAGGACAGUUAAAUGUAAUAAGCAAAGGAUUUUCAUGUGCAAAUAACUAAUUUCUCUGUAAAAUAAAUUUCAGUUCCAUAGUAAGUACUAAAGUGGGGGUUUUGGUUGGUUGAUUUGGUAGGUGUUUUGGUGUACAAGUUUGAAAGCAAACCAGCAGGAGAUUCCAAGUCAGAACUACAAUUUAAUAGGAAAAUUACAAUAAAGGCAAUAGUACAGAAACACUGGCUUAAACUGGCAGAAUCAGACUACAACCUGACAUGCUGUUGGUCAGGGUGUUGGUAGCAGUCCGAUUAAAUGGUGGCUACAGUCCCGUUGGAGUGAUGAAUGUGGUUUUGUCAAAGCGGUGAUCCUGUAGAAAGAUCUGGUCCUUCUCUGGAGGUCCAGUGAUGGUUAUUUAGCACCUGUCCUCUGGGAAUCCAGUGAUAGUGCUCUUGUGGUGUUCCAACUCCCAGAUUACAUACAGGUAGGAAUGUUCAGUUGCUCCCCAAGGGCGGGGCAUCUCACAAUAGGAUGAUGUAAUUCUAUAAGUCAUGCUGUGAGACCUUGAUGGCCCAUUAACGUUGAUAGUGCCCCAGAAAGAGUUAUCCGGGCUGACUAAUGGAGAAGAUAAAGAACACUGCCCCACCUAUUUCAACAGAUUAUGGAGAUGGUAAUAGAAUACAUACUUUUGGUUACACCUUUUCAGUGUAACUCAAGAUGUUUGUUUUUUUUAAAACUGUCUAACAUACCUUAAAGGCAUGUUUCAAAAUAUUUGCUUUUUAUUUCUUUUGGACCUUUGAGGGGAGGAGAGAAAUGUGUGUUAAUAAGGUGUUUCCCAAUUUAGAUCUAGGGGAAAAAAAUGGUUUGGUGUAGCAUGUAGUUGUGGGUUUGGUUUGGGUAAUUUUUUGUAAUGACUAAUGCUGUUAGCUCUUUCAUGUUUAUUAAGAGGGUUCUGAAUUGUGUGUGUUAUGUGAAAAAUGCAUAUUAUAUUAUUGGCAUUUUGAAAAUAUUAAAAGGAAUAUUAUAUAUGUUAUGUUGGAAAGUUAUGCUGUAUUAAUCCUUUUAAGUAGUGUGUUAAAUAUAGUUUUUGGCUACAACAUAAUAUUAAAAUAGAAACUAUGUGAUGUAAGAUACUUUUCUAACUAGCUCAAGGAAUGGAUAAGAUAAUCAAGAAAUUCUUUGCACAGAGAUAACAGCCACAAGACACUAAAAUACCAAAGAGAAGAAUUAUUGCCUCCUUAUCGGGAAGAACCAGGCUUCUUCUGCCUCCUUUCAGACUCCACGGAGCCAAACCAUGAUUUACAAGAUGAAGGGGGAAAGUUGAAAAUAAACAGAAAAAUCCCUAGUUUGAAAGGAAUGUUUGCAUCAUGUAUGAGAUACAUGAAUAUGCAAGAGGCUAUUGCUCUUAAAGGUUAAUCCUUUGUUAGUGGACAGGCUUUUUUUUUAGGAAAGCAUCCGAACGUUUGUAAUUCUUUGCUUUUUUAUUGUCCUUUAUUGUCCUAAAUCUGAUUGUCCAAAUUCUUAUUGCUCUAAUUUUUAUUACUAUUUUUAUAACCAUUCCAUUAUUAUUAACCUUUUAAAAUUUUAAAACAAGUGAUUGAUGUUUUUCACAAUUUGUGCCGAAACUCAGGAAUUAACACCUCGCUUCUGGGACCUCAGAGGUUUCUGAGUGAGGAAGGCAUGCCCGGCCAAGUUUGGCAGCCUCGCUCUCUUUCUUCUGGCGUGAUUGGUCAGACGCAGGUUCCAACCAGUGGACAGAAAGAGACAAUAAAACAAAGAAAAGGGAAAAGGCUCCCUAAAUCUGCAGUAAUUAGCCCCCCUAAGACUAGUAAUGUGCACGAAGACUCGGAAAGGAAAAAAGGAUUGGAGAAAAAUGGCCAGUAAAGAGACGAAGCGAGAGAUAAAAGGAGUAAAGGAGUGAGAGAAUCCCCCAGGGUAACUGGGACUGGGUCCCAGGGAGAGGUUGGACCCCUCGGAGGAAGGGAGCAGAGGAGUUUCCUAGCCCAAUCCACUAGGAAAUGGGACAAAAGGAAGGGGCCCCUAAAUAUUCUGCUGAGUUGAGGCAUUAAUAUUCCCAAGAACAUCCAGAAUUAAGCAAAAUUCUGCCGGAUUGAGGAUAUGCCCAAGAGCAUCCGGAGUUGGACAACACAGCUGGAUUGAGGGAUAAAAAUGCCCAAGAGCAUCUGUGUCACCAUGAUAUUUUAUGAAAAUCCUUUCAUUAGGAUUUUCUCCUGAGAAGCUUCAGAAAAGAAAUGUAAACAAUAACUAUCUGAUGGCUGUGGAAUGUGGUCUGGAGAUGGUUUACCAACAGGUGCAUCUUGGUCUCAUGUGAGUUGUUUUUACUUGAUGACCAAUCAUGGUCCAGCUGUGUCGGACUCUCUGUCUGUCAUGAGUUUUUAUUAUUCAUUCCUUUCCUAGUCUUCUGAUGAAAUCCUUCUUCUAUUCUUUUUAGUAUACCUUUAGUAUAGCAUUUGUAAUAUAAUAUAAUAUCAUAAUAUAAUA